RNAcentral lists this RNase P RNA (320 nucleotides) under Candidatus Woesearchaeota archaeon. RNAcentral describes it as "RNase P RNA component". It matches the Rfam family "Archaeal RNase P". From Rfam's summary of the family: Ribonuclease P (RNase P) is a ubiquitous endoribonuclease, found in archaea, bacteria and eukarya as well as chloroplasts and mitochondria. The record is from RNAcentral. Lineage: Archaea; Nanobdellati; Candidatus Woesearchaeota.
GGUAGACAACUCAACUUACGGAGAAUCUCUAGAAAUCUCUGAGGAAAGUCUGUCCACUAAUAUAUCGGCUGCUUAUCGACAAUAAGUCCAGGAAACUGGAGGCAACCGUUCAGAAACGAAACCACCUGCAUUUAGAAUGAUGGCUGUGAAUUUCCUUGUGAAAGGAAUGAGCUAACCGCCUGACAUUUUUACAGGAAAGGUUGAAACGGCGAGUCCCUGCUAGUGCAAGUCCAUAAUGGAUGCUUAGUAGAAUGUUGAGAUAACCCUUUGUGAAGGUCUUUAGACUGGAAGGUUAUACAGAAGACAGCUUACUGUCUGCC